RNAcentral lists this ribosomal RNA (253 nucleotides) under uncultured bacterium. Its description in RNAcentral is "partial 16S ribosomal RNA". It matches the Rfam family "Bacterial small subunit ribosomal RNA", at positions 524 to 776 of the family's 1533-position model. The record is from RNAcentral.
UACGGAGGGUGCAAGCGUUGUUCGGAAUCAUUGGGCGUAAAGCGCGUGUAGGCGGCUUGGCAAGUCGGGUGUGGAAUCCCGGGGCUCAACCCCGGAACUGCAUUCGAAACUGCCUCGCUAGAGUCACGGAGAGGAAGGCGGAAUUCCCGGUGUAGAAGUGAAAUUCGUAGAUAUCGGGAGGAACACCAGCGGCGAAGGCGGCCUUCUGGACGAUGACUGACGCUGAGACGCGAAAGCGUGGGGAGCAAACAGG